ACCUGUCUGGCAGUGGUCAGUGGAGGUGGAUGAUUUGGGCAAACUGGGAGAACUGGUGGGGGGGAAGAGGUCUCAAAUCAUCUCCAUCAGUGCUGCUCCAAGCGUCUGCCAUGGGUCUGCAUAUGUGGGGCUAACUCGGGGACUUGGGUACAGUUCAUGCUGUCCCCCCAGCAGAGAGAGCCGAAAGAGGAUGUGACAGGCAAACAGAGAUACAAAGGAUGGGAAACUACUAACCUGAACAAAGCCAAUAAUCUGUUUCCUGAGGAUGCUGGUGCCGUCAUGAAUGAGGAGUGGGGAGAGAUCUUUUAAACCAUUCAACGACAUUGCUGUGUCUUCACUUAAGAGGAGAAAAAAGUGAGCUUCCCAGUACAGAGAGAUCCUUGCAACCCCUCUAGCACAUGGGAAGAUGGUAAAGCAAAACAAAGAACAGCUGGAAGUGUGAUGGAUCGAAUACGUGGUAAUUCCAUAAUAUUGAUAAAUAGCUUGCUUUUAUGUGGAAUACUGUACUCAGUCCUGGAGAAAUGGCCAGAGGAGGUGCAAGAAAAGUAAAAGUUAUUCAGGAACUGCUAACCAGACAGAAAUAAACAAAUAAAUAAACUUGGAAAGGGGGUGGGAAAUACUGGAUCUCUUUAUCAAAAAGGGUAGAUAAAUAACAAGGGACAUGGUGGAAAAGAGGAAAAAAAUUGAUGGGUUACAGAAGGUAUACUGGAUGCUCCUAACUACUUUCUUUCAUGGAGAUGACUCAUUAAAUUCAAAGACUGCAUGCAAAAAACUAGGAAAUUGUUUUUAUGCAGUACAUAUUUCCAGGUCUGUGGAACUCCUUGCUGUUGGAAAUUAAUGUGUCCAAAAAGAAGAAUGGGGCCAGAAUAAAAAAUAAUGCAUUAACAUGGAUAACGGAAAUACUCUCAAUUUUAUAUGAUGGACUAUAAAUCCCUAUGCUUCAAGGCAGAAGCCAGUUUCUAUCAGAAGAGUGGUGGAGAAAGUUUCGCCAAGGGACACGUGCUUGUAUAAAUGCACAUUGCAGAGUUUUUUCCACUGUCCUCUGGAAGUCUCAGUAAGGAUGUCACCACAGGACCAAUUCUGGGUCCUGCUCAUCCCCAUGGUUCAAGCCAGAAGUCUAAGUGUGAGAGUCUCCACAGCUCACUCUCUAACCCCACACAAUCUGUUUGCUUCACGGUGACAGACUGGGAGAGCUGUGCCUCCUUCCUCGGGAUUUCCUCCUUUCCUGCUGGACCGAGGACUCCGCACACACUGGCUGUGCAAGCAGAAGUGGGUGUCUCCUGGUUGCGAUGACAAAUAGCCAGAGGUGCGAUCACUUUAGCACCUCCAAGCUCACCCCUCUGCUAUUAAAAAGGUAAUUACGCGCCACCCAGGGCAUGACUGGUGGGCAGCACAAAGCUGGAUUUGGCCUGGAUAAUGUAAAUUUUGUUCCACAGGCUUUGAGCUUGUGUAGCCCUCAUGGAGGCUACCUUAGGGGAGCACGGUGCCCUUUCAGUUAUGCUGAGGCUGUCAAGAAAGCACUCGAGCGAUUUAGUCAAGUUUAUUGGAAAAUCAGUGGAGGAAAUCAGCUUGCGGGUCGUCUUGAAAGGUGGAUGAGCCUCAUUCCUCUUCUCCCUUUUCUGCUUUGGAAACUGGCAGAUCUAGGGGCCGGGGCAAUGGUCCAUUUCCCCGCCAUGCUGCUGACUCACAAGCAAGCCUGUCCUCGUCUCCUCCUCCUGGGUUCCCCAUCUGUGAGCAGAGAUAUUUACUCAGCGGCUGAAGCCCACUCAGCAGUCGGAUGGAGAUCAGAAGAGACGAAUUGCUACCAAGACCAUGAUCAGCAGUUUUUACGGUGCCUUCAAAACCUCCAGGGCUCAUUCUGGGAGUGGGCAGAGCUGCCCAAUGCCCUGCGAAGCUGCAGCUGGGUGCCGUAGGGGAUGCACAGCCAUGGCCCAGAGGCUGCAUCCAGGGCCGGGGUCCAAAAUCUCAGCCCCGAGCAGUGCGCAGCUGUUAUUAUUCCAUCACCUGAGCGGCUCCAGCUCUGCAGCUCAUUAGCAGGUUGGAUAUAUUAGUAUCUGUCAAACAAUUGGAGAGCUACCUUGUUGGGUGAAUGGAUGAAAACACAUUAACUCCCACAAAAGGGGGAGAGGCGGUGAUUAGCUGGUGAGAUGACAAUAUGAAAUGUCAGUGGCACAGACAGUAAGCACAACUGUUCAUUAUUAUAUUAACAGCUUUAAUUUUCUGCCUUUAAACAGCAGUUUCCUGUCAGUUCAAUUA
This is a long non-coding RNA of Oxyura jamaicensis (ruddy duck), 2256 nucleotides long. RefSeq lists it as uncharacterized. NCBI's taxonomy places the organism in Eukaryota, Metazoa, Chordata, Aves, Anseriformes, Anatidae. The transcript has 2 exons. The record is from RefSeq and is a predicted model, not a curated record.